GUGUGUGUGUGUGUGUGUGUGUGUGUGUGUGUGUGUGAGCAGGCAGGCUCAGAGUUUGAGUGAAAGCCUGGGAUGGCAGAGGUUCAUGUUGCAGUUAUGAGGGGGUCCUUGGACGAUUGCUGUCCGGCGGUCCUGCUCCUUGCUGAGUUCUGAAGCUGAGAGAACACGGAGCCGGACCGGACACAGACUGGAGGAAAGGGGACCCAACAGGAAACGACUGGAAGGCGAGCUCGACCUGAGCGCUCCUGUGACGCUCCUCUCAAAACAAAACAAGCUACAGCUUCAUUUCAGCGAUGACAACUUGUUAGACGAGACCUGAGGACGAGCUCUGUUUGACUGACCUUCAGACCUUGGACUCUGUGGGCUCCUUGUCUUUGUAUCCUCCACACACACUCACACACACACACACAUACACAUGCACACAUGCACACACACGUUGCACCUCAGUGGGAUGUGAAAGGGGAGUUGUCGGUUAUUUCUAACCCAUCUGAGGAAAGUUUGCACUGAGCCACGACCUCACAGUGGAACCUAACAUGUCUUUGUACUGCAGUUCAAAUGAUUGUGAUCAGUAGUGAAGACAGCCGGGGGAAUAAAAGUUGUGCUUGAUAAGUUCAGUGUUUGAAAACAGAGAUAUUUCCCUCCCUUGUUCCUCUGAAAGUCGUAUCCAGGUGGAAAAGCAGAGUUAAGUCCUCAAACACCAAAACUAAGACUGACUUUCCUGCCCCCUCUGGAGCUUGUAAACAUGCUGAUUUAUGUCUGUUACAUAACUCCAUGUCUGUUUGCAGAGGGACUCUCUACACUCAGCACCCUCACAGUUUGAGACCUGCAGCCUGAAAGCUGCUCGUCUCCUGCUGACUACAUCCCGUCUCAUUUAUGCUGUGUCUGUACUCAACAAGGUGGAUGUCACCACUCCAGUUCUCUGGAUCCGAGCUGGAAGCAACAUCAGCGUGAGUCGACUUAUUCUGAGUUCAAGUGGUUCUGCUGAGCGGUGAUGUUUGGACAGAGAGGUGAGGCUGCAUGUCGAAGGUUUAAGGGGUUCUGAGAUGACGGGAAUAAUGGCCAAAUUGCUCCAUCACAGCACCAGAUCUGAUAGGUUUCUAUUCUAGUCAAUGUGUUAACUUCCACUGGGUCCACUCCGUUGCGUCUCUGAUCCGG
Notolabrus celidotus (New Zealand spotty) is the source of this 1155-nucleotide long non-coding RNA. RefSeq lists it as uncharacterized. Lineage: Eukaryota; Metazoa; Chordata; Actinopteri; Labriformes; Labridae. The record is from RefSeq and is a predicted model, not a curated record. The transcript has 3 exons.